AGUGAACGCUGGCGGUAGGCCUAACACAUGCAAGUCGAACGGCAGCACAGGAGAGCUUGCUCUCUGGGUGGCGAGUGGCGGACGGGUGAGGAAUACAUCGGAAUCUACUUUUUCGUGGGGGAUAACGUAGGGAAACUUACGCUAAUACCGCAUACGACCUACGGGUGAAAGCAGGGGAUCUUCGGACCUUGCGCGAUUGAAUGAGCCGAUGUCGGAUUAGCUAGUUGGCGAGGUAAAGGCCCACCAAGGCGACGACCCGUAGCUGGUCUGAGAGGAUGAUCAGCCACACUGGAACUGAGACACGGUCCAGACUCCUACGGGAGGCAGCAGUGGGGAAUAUUGGACAAUGGGCGCAAGCCUGAUCCAGCCAUACCGCGUGGGUGAAGAAGGCCUUCGGGUUGUAAAGCUCUUUUGUUGGGAAAGAAAUCCAGCUGGUUAAUACCCGGUUGGGAUGACGGUACCCAAAGAAUAAGCACCGGCUAACUUCGUGCCAGCCGCCGCCGUAA
Molecule: ribosomal RNA, 506 nt
Filed under: uncultured bacterium
Lineage: Bacteria
Description: partial 16S ribosomal RNA
Rfam family: Bacterial small subunit ribosomal RNA
Source: RNAcentral